RNAcentral lists this ribosomal RNA (68 nucleotides) under Marnyiella aurantia. RNAcentral describes it as "partial 16S ribosomal RNA". It matches the Rfam family "Bacterial small subunit ribosomal RNA", at positions 1 to 68 of the family's 1533-position model. Lineage: Bacteria; Pseudomonadati; Bacteroidota; Flavobacteriia; Flavobacteriales; Weeksellaceae. The record is from RNAcentral.
ACAAUGGAGAGUUUGAUCCUGGCUCAGGAUGAACGCUAGCGGGAGGCCUAACACAUGCAAGCCGAGCG